Molecule: long non-coding RNA, 316 nt
Filed under: Brassica napus (rape)
Lineage: Eukaryota; Viridiplantae; Streptophyta; Magnoliopsida; Brassicales; Brassicaceae
Description: long non-coding RNA (BNAP_LNC000415)
Source: RNAcentral
UAUUUAAUAGCGUGUCAUAAAUGCUAUUACUUAUAUUAAAAUUCUUUAUUUUAAAAAUUAUUUAUGGAAAUUUAAUUGUUUAAAAAUAAAAAACAUAAUUAAAAUUUAAACUGGUUUAUAUAUUUAAAAACUUGUUUAUUAUUUAAACUGAUUUAUAAUAAAACUGGUUUACAAAAAGAAUAUGGUAUACACAUUAGAAAAUAAAUCAAAACUAAACCAAAAAACUAAAACCAAGAUUUAACCUAAACCUAUUUACUAACUAAAACUAAUAUAGUAACGACCUCUGGCUGCUUCCGCGUCUUCGUGCCUCCGCCUC